GACGAACCGUGCGAACGUUAUUCGGAAUCACUGGGCUUAAAGCGCGUGUAGGCGGGACGGCACGUCGGUCGCUGAAAUCCCCCGGCUUAACCGGGGAACUGGCGUCGAUACGACCGCCCUGGAGGGGCGUAGGGGGACCUGGAACUUCCGGUGUAGCGGUGAAAUGCGUAGAUAUCGGAAGGAACAUCAGUGGCGAAAGCGGCUUCCUGGACCAGAACUGACGAUCAGGCUCGAAAGCGUGGGGAGCAAACAGG
RNAcentral lists this ribosomal RNA (254 nucleotides) under uncultured bacterium. RNAcentral's name for it is "partial 16S ribosomal RNA". It matches the Rfam family "Bacterial small subunit ribosomal RNA", at positions 524 to 776 of the family's 1533-position model. The record is from RNAcentral.